AACGAACGCUGGCGGCAGGCCUCAUACAUGCAAGUCGAGCGGACGGACCCCUUCGGGGGCGAGUUAGCGGCGAACGGGUGAGUAACAGGUGGAUGAUCUGCCUCCCGGUGGGGGAUAACGGCUGGAAACGGCCGCUAAUACCGCAUUCGGUUGAUGCGUUGCGGCGCAUCAAAGAAAGGCGCUUCACGGCGCUGCCGGGAGGUGAGUCCGCCCCCCAUUAGCUAGUUGGCGGGAUAACAGCCCACCAAGGCUUCGAUGGGUAGCCGAACUGAGAGGUUGAUCGGCCACACUGGAACUGAGACACGGUCCAGACACCUACGGGUGGCAGCAGUAGGGAAUAUUGGGCAAUGGGCGAAAGCCUGACCCAGCCAUGCCGCGUGAGUGACGAAGGUCCUAUGGAUUGUAAAGCUCUUUUCUGAGGAAAGAACAUCCGGGGUAGGAAAUGACCCCGGCUUGACGGUACCUCAGGAAUAAGGAACGGCUAACUCCGUGCCAGCAGCCGCGGUAAUACGU
RNAcentral lists this ribosomal RNA (513 nucleotides) under uncultured bacterium. Its description in RNAcentral is "bacterial SSU rRNA". It matches the Rfam family "Bacterial small subunit ribosomal RNA", at positions 29 to 528 of the family's 1533-position model. The record is from RNAcentral.